AUGCUAGCUUCAGCAGCACACAUACUAAAACUGGAACAAUACAGAGAUUAUAGCAUGGUACCUACACAAGAGGACAUGCAAAUUCAUGAAGUGUUCUAUAUUUAA
Molecule: small nuclear RNA, 105 nt
Filed under: Sus scrofa (pig)
Lineage: Eukaryota; Metazoa; Chordata; Mammalia; Artiodactyla; Suidae
Source: RNAcentral